UACGUAGGGGGCAAGCGUUGUCCGGAAUCAUUGGGCGUAAAGAGCGUGUAGGCGGUUCGGUAAGUCGGCUGUGAAAGUCCAGGGCUCAACCCUGGGAUGCCGGUCGAUACUGCCGGACUAGAGUUCGGAAGAGGCGAGUGGAAUUCCCGGUGUAGCGGUGAAAUGCGCAGAUAUCGGGAGGAACACCUAUGGCGAAGGCAGCUCGCUGGGACGUUACUGACGCUGAGGAGCGAAAGCGUGGGGAGCAAACAGG
RNAcentral lists this ribosomal RNA (253 nucleotides) under uncultured bacterium. Its description in RNAcentral is "partial 16S ribosomal RNA". It matches the Rfam family "Bacterial small subunit ribosomal RNA", at positions 524 to 776 of the family's 1533-position model. The record is from RNAcentral.